RNAcentral lists this transfer RNA (69 nucleotides) under Phraortes sp. Iriomote Island. Its description in RNAcentral is "tRNA-Gln". The record is from RNAcentral. Lineage: Eukaryota; Metazoa; Arthropoda; Insecta; Phasmatodea; Lonchodidae.
UAUAUUUAGGUGUAUGAUGCAUAAAAAUUUUUGAUAUUUUAGGUAAUAGUUUAAUUCUAUUAAGUAUAA